GGAAGUUGACAAGUCCUCGUACACGUGUUUUAUUAUUUUAUUUAGCUAUAAUACAUGCAGAUCUUUCCAAGAGGACUUUAAAUAUUUAUUACAAGUUGGACGUGCCAAACAAGGUCUAAGCUCGGCCACCAUCAUUCCCUGGCAACUGUAGGAAGGAUAUGAGCCCCUUAUCAGACUGCGUCUCCCAAACAAAUGCUUGGUACUGGUUGUCAUUUGUGGCUUCAAUAAUGAGGUUGUACAGUGUGAUACCCCACUGAUUGAUCUUCGAUCCCUUAAUCACGCACUUGAAUUUCAAGUGCCCUCCUUUCCUUCUAUUUUCCUCCGCCACGGCGUACUUUGAGACUCGAUCGUAAUCUUUGUUCUCGACCAUAACCCAUUCUUGGGAUUGCAGUUGAACCCCUUGAGCCACUUGAGCCAUCGUCCGGUGGUCGGAGACUUGUCAAAGUUGUGGGUUGUGGGUUUUGGUGGAGGUCUGGUGGUGGUGGUGUUGGCUGCUCGAAUUUAUAGACUUGGAAGAUAGAAGGAUGGGAAUUGCCCUUCUAGGUUCCUGAAAUUACGGGAAUACUAAUAGUGGGUUUGGACAGGGACAGCUGAUGUUGAUAGUUGAUACCAUCCUCCAAUUUUAUUUUAUUUUAUUUUUUAAAAUGAAAAUAAUUUUAUUGUAAUUUUUAAUUUUAAUUUUAUUAUUUUUUAAAAUUGAAAAUAAUUUUAUUGUUUGAUGAUCUGCUUUUAUUUUUUAUUUUUGCAAUUUGAAUGAAAAAUUUUGAAAUUUUUUAUAUUCUUAAAUUAUUUUAAGAUAAUCUAUUUUUUUUUUCCAUUGUCAUGUGAUUAUUAAAGAUAUGUUUUUUAAAUACAAAAAUACAAUUAAAAAAACAAAACAUAUUUAAUAACCAAAAAAAAUAUUUUUUAUUUUUAAAAAUAGAAAAAAAAAUUAAUAUAACUUUUUUUUUAGGGAGAUGAGGUAACCAAUAUUGGGACCCAAAAUAUUCUUAUGACAUGAAUAAUUGAUAGAAGAAUUGUCUAUUCCUAUUCCUACUGUCAUAACAUUUUCAUCUUCCUUGAAUUGAUUAUAUGCCCUAACUCUCCUUCAAGAUUAAGUUUACAAAUCUUACUCCAUAUGAUUAUUCUAUUUAGGAAUGAUAUUGGAAUAGGAUUCAAAAGGAAGGGUCACUCUCAUCCUAACCCUAUCACGAUUAUUUAUUUAGAUAUAUUCUCAUCCUUGUCAAUGGAAAAAAAAAGGUAAACAGGGUAUGAUUGGUGGGUAUGAGAAUUCUUGGUACCCACCUUGCACCCAAUUUAAUUUUUUUAUUCAAAAUGUUUUUAGUUUUUAAAAUUUAGAUUAUAUAAAAAAUAAAUAUAAUUAAAAUUAGAAAAUUUUAUAAUUUAUUUCAAUAAUAUAUAUAUUAUAUGUAUUAAACAAGAAAAAAUAAAAAAAUAUUUUUAUUAAUUAAUUAUAUAUAAACUUAUCAAAUAAAGCAAUACUCAAACAUAUGGCUAGUUUAAAAAAAAGUCACGCAUUUGUUCUAAACUUGCUUAUUAUUUUUUAAAAUCCUUCUCACUAGAAAUGGUACCCACAAAGACUAGUUUCAUUAUCAUCCCUAAGCUAUCAUAGGUUUUGGUUUUUUUUUUUUUUCAUAUCAAACUUGAAACGAAUGAAGAAUUUCGAGAACCAUAUUAAGAGCUUUGGCCAGGUAGAAGACCAAGAUUUUUGCUUAUUAUUUUAUAUGAAAAUGUUAAAUAAGCUAAAAGUUUAAAAAUGAUUUGCAGAUUUGAACUUUUAAGUGUCUUUUAAAUGAAACACCACCUAAUUAAGCUUCGAGAUACUUUGGAGGGUUUCUUAAACACUAGCAUUUGAAAGUCAAAUAAAAGAUUCAAAGGUACAACUCCAAUACUUUCAAACGGCAAUGUGACAAGCAAGGUUUUACUUAAUUGAUUUUGAAAGUAUUGAACUUUGGAAUUAAUAAUUACAUAUAAAUUAAUGCAUUUUCUAGCAUGUGACUUCAUUCAAAAGGAUUUAAUGGCAUACUUGAAAGAUAGCCCAAUGAGUCAAAGGCAUGCUUUGAUAAUUGGUUUAUAUGGAUCUUUAUUAAUUGAAAUUAAAAUUAUGUAUUUUUUUUUAUAUCCAAACUCAAAAAAAUACAAAAUUCCAUGAAUCUUCUUUAACUAAUAUAUAUACUGAUAAUGGUUUCAAUUUUAAGGGAAUCUCAUAUGCAUUUUCUCACAUUUUUGAAUAAGCAAUAAGACAUGGGAGCAUUGGAACAUCCCACUUUGAAAGCUUAACCUUGGGAGAAUGAUAAGCUUCACCAAUUGAAUGUUUGACAUACAAAGAUGAGUAGUUGAUUUAGAACUUAAGAUAAUAUGAGUUAUUAUUUAUUAUAUAUAUAUAUAUAAAAGAAAAAUGUUUCUUACCAUUUUUCCUAAGGAUCAUUUAGUAAUGUUUUAUGAUGUAUCAUUGAGAAAAGCAUUCAAUUGAGAAGUCUUAUGUACCAUGAGAAAGUACGGGAAGAAUUUCUUUUUCUAAUAAUUUUAAAUUUAAGAGAUGACAACCUAAAUAUCCCAAGGUUUAAAAAGUUAUUUUUAAAAACCUAUUCACAUAAAUAUCUUUAAUUAUAGCUAUAAAUUUUUAUAAUAGUACGAUAUAAUGGUUAUUUAUUUAUUCAAAAAUAUCUCAUCAUCUUAGCUUGGUGAAACAAUCCUAAAACAUUGUUCAAUAAAUUUAAAAAGCAGUGGACUACAAUAUGAAUAAGUUAAUAACGUUCGAGGAUAAAUAAGACAUGUGUUUUAUCCUUGAAAAUCACUUAUACAUGUAACCACCGACUUCAACACAAGUAAAUCACCUAUUGUGAUAUGCAUAACCAUCUUUGAUUAUAAAUAAAGUAUGAGCUAUUAGAAAAGCUCACUUUUGAACUCCUAUACUUAAAAGAUAACAUAUUUUCAUAAAUCUCGAUGACUUUAUUAUAAGUUAUGCUUAUGUCACACGAAGAGUAGCACUCCAGAUGACUUUAUUACAAGUUACAAUUACGAGCUUAAUUUGAUAUUGGAGGUAAGUUCGUUCACGUGAGAAUUGGUUUGCAGGGUUUAAGGUAAGUGAGCGCUUUGAAGCCAUCGAAGCUCUCAUACACAAGAGUGUCAUACUUGGUCAAGACACCGUCGUGUUCAGCCUAAAUGAUGAGUUUGUAAUUGAUACCAUUGAUGACCUGCGUCCACCCUGUUGAGGCCUCGCGUCGCUGGUGAUCUACGUAGUUGCCAAAUGGAUGGACGCACGAUCUCAACCAAUAUAGGUUCUUGAUUCAGUUGCUCCACCUGCAAAAGGCGUCCGGACGGGGUGUCCGGACGCACCCUCCGAAGGUUUUGUCAGCCAUGGUUAGAGAGAGAUAAAUCAGUUGGCCUUUUACUAGGAUUAGCAAGUUUACCUUCCCCUUUGUGUGAAGGUUUGUAUAUAUAGUUAUCAGAAGCUUUGUUCCCCUCUUCAAUGGUGGGGAGAUAUUUUGUGUUGUCAUGAUGACACUAGGUGGUGGCAGGGCCAUCAUCACCCUAUGGGCGGUUGACAGAGAUCGUGGUAGGUGAUGCGGCUGUCAGAGAUCAUGGUAGGUGAUCAUAUGAAAUGAUCGUGGGAAGUGACUUGUUGUCACUUCGUCUUGUCCUUUCACUCUGCAGGUGGCGGAACGUGGGCUAUGGCAGGCUGUUGUGAUAACGUGUAAGACUUGCUUUACUUCAGUCAAUGACCCAGACAAUCAUAUCCGGAUGUUUAUGUUUAUAAGUGUCAUUUGCCCUUCCUUGAGGCAGUCUGGAUAGGAGAAGCGCGCCUCUUGGGAAAAUCCGGAUGAGGUUGAUCCGGAUGAGAAUGCAUGCCACGCGUCAUCAGGAGAUGUGUGCCACGUGUGGGGAGGGGUCCCUACAAUGCCCCCCUUUUUAACUUGCCUAUUUUGCCUAAGCAAAAAUGGGCGGGUUAAAAAUAAUUGGUUUUUUGAAACUGAGUUUACUUUUUGCGCUCAUUGAGCCACGUGGCAAGCGGGGGCGAAGAGAGAGAAGAGCAUUUAUGAUGAGCCGCCGUCUCUGUGUAUCCCCAGGCAGCAUGUCGUUUCAAUGAUAGCGUAGCUGAUCGUUUGGUAUACCGAGGGGCUGUCGCCCUAUAAAUAGCGUAUUGUGCCUUCUGCUGCACUUUUCCUAUUGCGUUUUUUCUGCGAGUGUUUCUUCUUCUUCCUUCUGCGUACCUUUGCUUUUUGAGUGAAGCCCUAGGGUUUUCUGCUGGAGAUUUUCGCGUCUUGAUGUGACUGUAUUGCGGUUUCGAACCCUUUUCUUCCAUUUUUGCACCUGGUACGUAUAUCUGCUCUUAUCUUUUCCCGGUUGCUUUGGUUUUGUUGGUUUGCCUGUGGCUUGUUUGGGCGAGUGUCUGUGCGACUGGGUGUUUUUCAGUGAGUCCGAGGGUUUUUGUUGCCCCCCUGUGUUUUAUGUGGGUUGUGGUUUUUCUUUGGUAGGGUCAAGGGUUUUGGAAUGGGCAUACUGGUGGUGUGAGAUUUUCUGAGAGUUUCUGUCGUUUAGGGUUUGUGGGUUUGGUUUGCUGUAUUUUUUACUGUUGGUACUUCCUUCAUGCAGAUUUUUUAUCAUGAGGCUGAAAAAUGUCUGCGACCCAAGAAGUGACCUCAUCUGGCCCGGCCGGUGAUGCUUUUGAAAAAUCUGUAGAUAAACUGAGUGUAAAGGAGUUCCGAGAACGUUUCUGUAUCCCAAAUGGCGUGCUUGUGGAUUUUAUGGACGAUGAAGAGGUCGUGUCUACUGAGAAAGCCGAAGGCCGUGCCAUCACCUUCUCAAAUGAGCAAUUUAACGCUGGGCUCCGAUUCCCUCUCCCGGCGCUGUUCAAGGAAUUCCUCCAUUUUACUCAGAUCCCACCAGCCUUCAUCCACCUCAAUACAGUCCGGGUGCUGAUGGGAUGCAGCAUUCUAAACAUGCUGUUCAACCUUGACCUUUCGCUGUUGGAGGUUCUUUUUGUUUACUCCCUGAAGAAGGGAAAAAAUGAUAUCUUCAGUAUGGCCGCCCAUCUGCCCUCUCUUCAAUUGGUGACUGAGUUGCCAGAUUCGACGAAAGGAGGGGCGAAGGGGUAUGUGGUGGUCUGAGGUGCCUGGGCGGGUCUUUUGGAGCAUCCGGAUAGGCCUUUUUCUCCAAACUACUCAUUGGUGCUUCCGGGUAAGUCAGCUUAGGGUGCUAUCCAGCUUUUAUCUUGUUGUCCUUCUUGCUAGUUUUGUCGGAACUUAUCUUUGGUUUGUUGAUAAUGCAGGCUCGGACAGGAGGGGUCACAUAGUUGAGUGGGUAGAGAAAGCGUCUUUUGUUCGAUUGAAUAAGUUGUUCGAAAUUACUGCCGCCGAGAGGCAGUAUGCAACGCUGCUCACUGCGCGGAACCUGAUGGCUGUUGUCUGGGAGUCCCGUGAGUAUGUCAUCAAUAUUCUCCCCAGGAAGCUGCCAAAGAAGGUAGUGCCUGGGGAGCAUUACAUUCUGAAAGACCUUCCUUUCUACAAGGAGGUGCAACAGGCGGACGCUGAGAAACGUCGAGCGCUCCUUGACGAUCGGGAGAGGAGAAAAAAGGAGGGAACCUUACGGAAGGCUCCGGGGCAAAAACGGUCCGCGUCCUCCCCUCCUGCUGGCGCUCCAGCGAAGAAGAAAAAGAAGACUUCUGAGAAGGGAAAGGAAGUGGAAAUCCCCCCUCCUCCAAAGGAGGUUGUAAUUCCUCCUUCAACCUAUGUGAAAGAGGUAACAAUAAAGGAGCCGGAAAAUCCUGUCCCAGUUUCUGUUUCAAGCGGACCCGGACAUCUUGCGGGUCUGAACCACUCCGGUCUCUCAAUGUCGGCGGCUGGCCGUUUGGCCCUAGUGGUAGAAGAAGCUACGUCAAUAAACCAACCUAGCUCUCCUCAUCCAGAUGCAGAUGCAGCGGAGGCUUCUUGUGCGGCCGUAUCGCCUCCUAUGGCAACCCCAAUGGAGGAAAUGAGGGUAGAAAACUAGGGUCUGCCAUCCUGCGAGUCAAGCCCUCUUGCCCUUGUACCGGUGAAGGGGCCAGCCUCAAGGAGACCGAGUUCGGCGCGGAACCUAAAGUCCGGCCUCCUCGGGCAGCUUCAAGAUCGAUUCCAGGAGACCAUCGAAGUCAGUUGCUCAUCCGUUCAGGAUGACCAUACUGAGGGGAGCGAGACGGAGAUGGCAACUGAGACCCCAGCCGUCUCGAUGGUGGUCCCGGAUGAGGGUACGCCCGGAGAGACCCAUCUGGCUAAAAAUGACGGGGCCCCGGAUCCGGGGGAGGAAUUGCUUUCUAACGCCUCAUCCGGGGGGGGAUCCUGUUGAUGAUGCGGCUUUGCACCCUCUGCUAACCCUUUUUAACUAUGCGGAGUUGGAAGANNNNNNNNNNNNNNNNNNNNNNNNNNNNNNNNNNNNNNNNNNNNNNNNNNNNNNNNNNNNNNNNNNNNNNNNNNNNNNNNNNNNNNNNNNNNNNNNNNNNUUUUGUUUUUUUUGUUUGUGGCCCUUGUUUGUAGUGGGGGAGUGGUUUUCGGGGCAGGGCUCAACACCCCGAUUUAUUUAUUGCCCUGUUGGGGCCCACUGAUUAUAUGAAGCCUUUCGGUUUUCAGGGAAAAAAUAGUGAAGUUCAGUUGCGCUUGAGACGGGAGGGGGCCGAACCCAUUUUUUCCCCCGUUGGGGGGGAAAAGGGGGUUCCCCGGGCAUAUUUAGUGGGGGAAAAGACCCGGGGGGUUUGGAGGGGGCCCCGCUUCCAGGGGGGGGGGGGGGGGGGGGUGAGGCACCUCCGGACGGAAGUUUCAAUUGAAAAGAAGUAGAGGGAAGAUUUGCAGCUGCGCUUAUUAGCGCAAAAAGAAGAGCUGGAGGGCGAGUUUGCUGCGGAGAGAGAGGAACUUGAAGCGGACUACCAAAAUCAAGUGGAUGAUAUGUUCUUCUUCGGCUAUCGCUACAGUAUGAAGAAAAAUGGCAUUAAACGUGAUGUCCCUUCAAUUCCUCCGGGUGAAGAGAAAGAAGCUACUUGACAAGCCUGCUCCCUGACAGUUUUUCUUUUUGUAAUCUUUGCUGCUAUCUUCUUUCUGUAAUUUUUAUAGUCCGGAGACCUCCUUGUAUAUACCUUUACAACUAUUAAUAAAACAUUCUUUAUUCUCAUUUGUGCCUGUCUUUUGCUCUUUUAUUGAUAAUACUGCUUUAAAUUAGACACAUUCCAUGGUCUGAGUAGUGGAGUUUCGUUUAACUUUUGUAGAUGAUAAGCUCCAUUUUGACUUGACUUAGAUAUUAUAUAGGGUCCUUUCCAGUUGGCUUGGAAUUUCCCUGCGUCCAUUUCAGUAGUGUUUUCGAAAACUUUUCUAAGGACCAGCGUACCAUUUUUGAAGCUUCUGGGCCUUACUUUGCGAUUGUAAUGGGCGGAUGCCCUUUGCUGAUAAUCUGCCAUCCGGAUGGCUGCGCUUUCUCUUACUUCAUCUGCCCAAUCCAAGUUUCUUCUUAACUCCUCACUUGCAUCAUCCUGUUUUGCUGCCUCAGUCCGGAUAGUGGGUAACCCUAUUUCGGUAGGGAUGACUGCAUCCAUUCCGUAUGCGAGGGCGAAUGGAGUGUUUCCUGUUGGUCGUCCGGGUGUGGUUUGAUAAGCCCACAGGACGCCGGGCAACUCUUCCACCCACUUUCCUUUGGCUUGUUCGAGUAUUUUCUUUAAAGCAGUGAUCAGAGUUUUGUUUGUGGCUUCUGCUUGCCCGUUACUUUGAGGAUAACGGGGUGUAGAGUAUGAAUUCCGGAUGUUCAGUUCCGAAUAGAAAUUCCGGAACGCAAUACUAUCAAACUGUGGACCAUUGUCGGCUAUAAUGGUGUGUGGAAUUUUAAAACGGCAGACGAUAUUUUUCCAUACGAACUUGGUGACAUCUUUGUCUUUGAUGCUUGCAUAUGCUUCAGCUUCCACCCACUUACUGAAGUAAUUUGUGGCAACAAGUAGGAAUUUCUUCUGGGCGGGUGCGGCUGGGAGAGGUCCUACUAUAUCCAUGCCCCACUGUGCGAAGGGUCAGGAGCUUGAAAUUGGUUUCAAUGUCUCGGACGGCAUAUGUGGAAUGGGGGCGUACCUUUGACAUUUGUCACAUUUUUUAACAUAUGCUGCCGCAUCCUUCUUCAUCGUGGGCCAAUAAUAUCCUUGCGAAUGGGCUCUAUGUGCCAGAGACCGUCCUCUUGAAUGAUUUCCGCAUAUUCCCUCAUGCAACUCAGCUAACAGAUACUGGGUCUCUGAGUGACUUAGGCACCGAAGGUAGGGUCCUGUGAAGGAUCGCUUGUACAAGUGUCCCCCGAUUAUGGUGAAACGGGCAGCUUGCACCCGGACCUUGUGUGUCUGUCCGGAGGUAUUCUGUAAUGCUGUUCGUCCAUUCUUGGCCGUUUGCUUGGUUUGCCUCAAUGGUGUUGCAAGUAGAGGUUUCUGUGACAGAAGGGUUGGUUUGCACAUGUACAGGCAAUAGAAUAGCUUCUUUGAUGGGGAGGGAGGCAGCUAUGCCAGCCAAGGCUUCUGCGCGCCCAUUUUCGGUUCGUCUGAUCUUUUCGAUUGUCCAUUCGGUGAAUCGCUGUAAGGUGUCCCUUACUUUAGUCAGAUAUCGCGUCAUGCGUGCGUCAUUGGCUUCGUAUUCUUUCUGGACUUGUCUUACUACGAGUUGCGAAUCGCUAUAGACCCGGAGCUUGGAAACGGAUAGGGCCAGAGCGAGGUCUAAUCCGGAAAAGAUGACCUCAUAUUCUGCUUCAUUAUUAGAGGCAGGGAAUCCCAGUCGGAUGGCUUACUCCAGGUGUUCACCGGUUGGGGACUGUAGCAAAAGCCCGACUCCGGACCCUGAUGAUCGUGAGGCUCCAUCAACUAGCAAAGUCCACCAUUCUUUUUCAUUUGAUUCCUGGUGUUGGUUAGGCCUUCGGGCAUAUUCUAGCACGAAGUCAGCCAUUACUUGGCCUUUCAUGGACAAUCUGGGUUGGAAUUCGAUUCCAAACUCGCUCAAUUCGAUAGCCCAUUGCAGCAUUCUUCCGGUUAAGUCUGGCUUGUGCAGAAUGUUGCGAAGGGGUUGAUCGGUCAGCACGACCACCGAGUGGGCUUGGAAAUAGGGGCGGAGCUUCUGGGCAGCGCUACGAAGGGCUAAGGCUGUUAGCUCCAUUUUUGAGUACCGGGUUUCUACGUCUGCCAAUGCUCUGCUGACGUAGUAGAUGGGUCUCUACUCCUUAGGUGAGGGGCAGCGAAAUAGAACGGCACUGACUGCCCACUCCGAUACAGCUAGAUACAUGUAUAAUUUUUCUUUUGGGAUGGGGUUGCUUAGGAUGGGCGGCUGCAUAAGACAGUGUUUAAUCUUUUCAAAAGCGUUUUGACAGCUGUCUGUCCAUCCGCUUGCUCCAGCUUUACGUAUUGCCAAGAAGAAGGGUCGCAAUUCAUCAGUGAAGCGGGCUAUAAUACGCCCUGAUGCGACGAGUUUGCCCGUGAGGCGCUGUAAUUCCUUCUUACUCCUGGGGUGAGGUGUUUCCAUGACUGCCUUGACUUGAUCCGGGCUGACCUCUAUCCCUCUUUGGCUGACCAUAAAACCCAGAAAUUUGUCAGCACUUACGCCAAAGGCGCAUUUGGAAGAAUUCAGCUUCAUGCCAUAUUUCUUCAAAAGGUGAAAAACCUCUUGUAAAUGAAGAACAUGCUCCUCUCGGGUUUUGCUUUUAAUCACGAUAUCAUCAAUAUAUACCUCUACUAUGUGACCUAUCAGAGGUUUGAAGAUUUUUGUCAUUAGUCUUUGAUAAGUGGCGCCAACGUUUUUGAGCCCGAAUGACAUAACUUUGUAGCAAUAAAGGUCGUGUGGCGUUAUGAAUGCUAUUUUUUCCUCGUCAGACGGGGACAUGGGGAUCUGAUGAUAUCCGGAGAAGGCAUCCAAGAAAGAGAGCAUCCCUUGCCCAGCAGUAGAAUCCACGAUUUGAUCUAUUCGUGGCAAAGGGAAACUGUCUUUUGGACACGCAUUAUUGAGAUUGGUGUAAUCGACACACCCGCCAUUUUCCUUCUUUCUUGGGUACCACCACUACGUUUGCCAGCCAGUUCGGAUAUUCUACUUCUCUGAUGAAUCCGGCUUCUAGCAAUUUGUCAAUCUCAAUCCGGAUGAUUUUUUGUCUAUCCGGGUGAAAGCGCCUAAUCUUCUGCCGGACGGGUCUGGCAGUUGGAAAGACGUUAAGCUUGUGAGAUGUAAUAGAGGGAUGAAUUCCCUUCAUAUCAGCAUGUGCCCAUGCGAAGAUGUUACGUCUAAGGGCGUUUUGUAUGCUCUGGGUCUCUUCUGGUGUCAUGAGGGAGCUGAUGUUUGUGAGGUGAGUACUUUCCUCCGAAAUUUGGAUUGUUUGUAAGGGAUCUGCUGCCAGGGGAUCCUUGUCCACCGGGCCCAAUAAUUGCUAUCGGUCAUGCGGAUUGCUGGGCUCAGGGAGGGAUGCAUCCUCCCGGCUGGUCCCUGCUUCUCGUGCUAUCUAGUAGCAUUGGCGAGCGGCUAACUGGCUGCCAUAUAAGUCAAUUUGCCCAUCGUUGGUAAGGAAACUCACCAUUUGAUGAUAUGUAGAGGGGAUGACUUUCAUGUAGUGUAUCCAUGUGAGCCCUAAGAUGAUAUUGAAGGGUGAUAACUCUUGUACCACUGAGAAUUGUACGUUGAGAGUGACUGGGCUUGCUUGGACCGGCAGUACAAUGUCUCCUAAUGACGUAGUUGAUGACCCGUUGAAUCCGGACAGGAUUCGUCCGGGGUUUUCAAGGCCUGUGAGACUGUGUCUCAUGUGGCUAACGACCGAUGCUUAUACAAGAUUGGUCAAGCUGUCUGGGUCAACCAAGAUGCGUCUCACAUCGAAGUCUCCUAUCUCUAGGGACAAAAUGAGGGUGUCGCGAUGUGGCUGUAGUGUCCGGGUGGGGUCAACUGGUGGGAAAAUGAUUGUCCCAUCUAUGGGGCGAGGGCCCCCUCCAGUUAGCCCAGGCCGGAUGGAAUUGAUGUGUUCGCGUAUUGAUGCGGCCCGCAACAACUUCUGCCUUUUUCGCCUAGAGUCGUACUCCUCGUCAGAUGGACCUCCGUUAAUAUAGUUUAUAACGGCCUUGGGGGCGGCUGGGGCCCUGGGGGCUCCAGGGUUGUGAUGUUGGGAAGUGACUUUUCCUCCAGCAUUUGAGCGGAGGUAUUGCUUUAGAUGUCCUGCCAUGAUGAGCCUCUCGACCAGAUACUGGAGGCUUCUGCAUGUUUCUGUCGUGUGAUCGUGUUCCUUGUGGAAGGCACAUCUCUUGCUAUGAUCCCUUGUGGAUGGGUCCGUUCCUUGGGGUUUGGGCCACCUGAAGUCAGACAGGCCUUGGAUCAUAGGGAGAAGUUUUUCAUAUGAUAUGGAAAGAGGCGUGAGGGGCGGCCUAUCCGGGCGACUCGGUCCCUCCUGCCUUCGAUCGGACGGCCUUGGCCGGUCCGGAGGUUUAGCAUUUCUUUCCGCAUCACCUCUAGAUGGCCGUCCGGCAACCAAAACUUGCUGGGUGGCUGCACGCACGUCAUCUUCGAGCAUUGAAUAUUUGUUGGCACGUCUGAACAAGUCGUCCAUCGUUGUAGGAGGCUUUUUGGCUAGCGAUUCGAAAAAUGGAGUGCUUGGACAGAUGCUUCACUUGAAGAUCUGUAGGACAGCAUCCAUGCUGCAAGCCUCUACCUGGAGUACGGCCUGACCAAAUCGCUUCACAAACUCCCUUAAGGAUUCGUUAUCUUGCAUUUUUAUGUUUUGCAGAGUGCUGAUGUUCUGCUUGUGUCGAGCGGAGCAUAAGUAUUGUCCCACAAAAGCUUCGGAUAGGUCCCUGAAAUUGCCAACAGAGUUGGGAGGUAGGCGAUGAAACCAUGAGAGGGUCUGUCCUUGUAGGCUGGCGGGAAACACUUUACACAGUAGUGCGUCGUUGCCAAUAUCGAGCGUCAUGAGCUGUCGAUAAUGCACGAUAUGAUCGAAGGGGUCGUUGGACCCAUCGUAUGUGGAAAAUUUUGGUACGAGGAAUCCCUUUGGAGGCUCGUAAUGAAUGAUAUGAGAGCAGAAAGGCAUGGAGAGCAUGUCGUCUAGCCUUUUGCUGAUGGAACCAAUUGGUGGCUGGCUUGAGAGGUUUCCCCCAGCUUGUUGUACCGCUAGGUGCGAGUGAACGUUCCGCAUCAUGGGGGUGACCAUGGGGUCACGAUGCGGGUGCAUGUUUUGCACCAUGGGGGUGACCAUAGGGUCAGGGCGUGGUGCCCAGGUUGUGGCUACUGGUAGCAUUGAUCUCCCAGGCUCUUGUGGGCCUAGUCUUGCGCGCAUUGAAUUUGACAACUGAGAUUUUCUGUCACGUUGGCUUUUUGCUGAGAAAUGAGUAGAGUUUGAGCUUUCCUCACGAGGAGCUCGAGGCAUAGGCAUGUGUGGCUCAUGAGGCCUCACGUUGCAUGCCCCUGGGAUAGCUCCUGCUGUUCCAGGAUAUAUAGACUCUGGCUCUGGCCUUGAGUUUGCUACUUGGCCUCUUGAACGCUGACGACGAGGAGGCCCUGAUGUUGAAGCUUGGAUGCGUAAUACAGCGUUUUCCUCUCUUAAUCUUUCUGUCUCCUGGAGGAGAGCUUUCAGUUGUCGUUCGCUUGCCAACUGUCUCCUUUCGAUGGUUUGACACCAUUCAAAAUUAUCCUCCUCUCACCUACCAGAUGAACGGCUUCGGGAAGGUGUGGCCAUCUUUGCUAGUGACUGAAUCAAAUGAAAAUUUUUCCCACAGACGACGCCAAUGUUGAGGCCUCGCGUCGCUAGUGAUCCACGUAGUUGCCAAAUGGAUGAACGCACGAUCUCAACCAAUAUAGGUUCUUGAUUCAGUUGCUCCACUUGCAAAAGGCGUUCGGACGGGGUGUCCGGACGCACCCUCCGAAGGUUUUGUCAGCCAUGGUUAGAGAGAGAUAAAUCAGUUGGCCUUUUACUAGGAAUAGCAAGCUUACCUUCCCCAUUGUGUGAAGGUUUGUAUAUAUAGUUAUCAGAAGCUUUGUUCCCCUCUUCAAUGGUGGGGAGAUAUUUUGUGUUGUCAUGAUGACACUAGGUGGUGGUAGGGCCAUCAUCACCCUACGGGCGGUUGACAGAGAUCGUGGUAGGUGAUGCGGCUGUCAGAGAUCGUGGUAGGUGAUCAUGUGAAAUGAUCGUGGGAAGUGACUUGUUGUCACUUCGUCUUAUCCCUUCACUUUGCAGGUGGCGGAACGUGGGCCAUGGCAGGCUGUUGUGAUAACGUGUAAGACUUGCUUUACUUCAGUCAAUGACCCAGACAAUCAUAUCCGGAUGUUUAUGUUUAUAAGUGUCGUUUGCCCUUCCUUAAGGCAGUCCGGAUAGGAGAAGUGCGCCUCUUGGGAAAAUCCGGAUGAGGUUGAUCCGGAUGAGAAUGCGUGCCACGCGUUAUCAGGAUAUGUGUGCCACGUGUGGGGAGGGGUCCCUACACACCCCAUAACCACGCUCUUAUAUUUCAGGUGCCAUGAAGCCUGCCCAUUUUUCUCCAUCACGGUGAACUUUGCAACUUCUUGCACCUUCGGAUCCUCCACGUCCUCGAUCCAAACAAAGCUGCCGACUAGCACUUGAGCCAUUGUAUGGCAGCUGGAGAGACUGGUCAAAAUUUUGGUUUAUGGACGGUUUUUUGUGGGGGUGUGGUGACACCGGCGGUGGAGGCAGUUUGAAUUUAUAAGCUUGGAAAGGAAGAAUGAUGGGAACUGCCCUUCAACUUUCUUGGAAUUACAGGAAUAUCAAUCGUGGGUUUGGACAAGGACAUCUCUGAAAAUUGAUUUUGAUAUUAUCACUUUCAUAAUUAUUAAGAGGUAAUAGAAAAAAAAAAUGUAAAAAACAUAAAAAUUAUCUAGGGCAUGGAAAUUUUUUUUUUUUUAAAUAUUGAAUAAUUUUAAAAUUCAUGUUUGGCAAUAUAACUUUUUCACACAAAUAAUUUUAAAAUUGAAAAAUCAUAAAAAAUAAAAAUAAAAAUUCAUCCAAGAUGGUUUUUUUUUUUUAUAAAAAAAAUAGAAAUCAAAAUUAAUGAAAAAUAAAUUCAUUGCAAAAUCAUAAAAAAUCAUCUAAGAUUUUUUUUUUUUUUUACUUAUUAUAUUACAAAUAUGUUUGUUUUUGUUUUUAAAAAUAGAAAACAAAAUUAAUAUUAAUAAACAUAUUUAUUAUAGAUUCUAAUUUUUAUUCACUUCUGUCAAAAUCCCAUCUAUAUUAGAGAACCUUUCUACCACUCAGUGGUGGCAAUAUUGGCCACCAAGAAAUCUUUUAGGUCGAAUGUGCUUACCCCUUUGGCACCAUGAAUGUAUGGACCCAAAGCAUUCCAUGAAUGGAGAGAAGAAUCGUCCCCAUUUUUAAUCUCAUUAGAUUUUUUUUUGAAGAGAAGUAAAUUCAAAUAAAUUUUUUUUUUCAAGUUUUUAAUUAUUUCUUCUUAGUGGGACAUAUAUUAAAAUGGUAAAAUUUUGACAACUUGUUCUGUUCAAUAAUAUGGAUAUUCACCAAAGAUGGUGGAAAAAUCAAUCAAAUAGUUUUUUUUUUUUUAAAAAAAAAAAAAAAAGAAGAAAAUUAUAGAACUCAAACACACAAAAGUAUACUUGCAAAGCAUCUUAAUUUAAUGGGAUGGUGAGGCCAAAAAUAUUCUCUUCACAUGAAUAAUGCAUACAAGAAUUGUCCGUUUCUGUUCUCAUUUGAUUUUUAUGCUUUUUUUUUAAUGGAUAUUGGAUAAAAGAAUCAACUAUCAAUUUCUAUUUUUACCCUCUGUUUCCUUAUUGAUGUAAGACAAUGGAGCAAGAAUCAAUUCUUGAUGUAGAAUUGAUAUAGGAAGCAGAACACAUUCAUGGAAGAACAGAAAUGAGAUAGAAAUAUAGAAAAAGUAUAGAAAUAAUAAUAAUAAUUUUGUGAAUAGCAACAAGAAUGACUUUGGUAUUUAAAUCUAUUUGUUUACAAUUUAAGAACCAUAAAUCAAUAAANNNNNNNNNNNNNNNNNNNNNNNNNNNNNNNNNNNNNNNNNNNNNNNNNNNNNNNNNNNNNNNNNNNNNNNNNNNNNNNNNNNNNNNNNNNNNNNNNNNNAGUUUAGGAAAUGUGGUAACAUUACAUUGAUGAGUAGAAAAAAGGUUUGUUGGAUUAUGAAACUUGAAUUAAUUUUAUUGCGCAUCAUUGGAGAUGCCAGGGUGAAGCUUCCCGCUGAACUCACAAAGAUCAAGUUUAUGAACUUGCCCCUAUGAUACAUUUAACUCUCUUUUGAUUUAAGGUUUUAUUUUUUAGAAAAAAAAAAAUUAAAGUAUGACCACAAUUGAAAUGAGAGUAAGAGUGUUCAACAUUAUAAUCCUUCUUUUUCGUUUAAUUAAUAGAUUUUUUUAGUAUGAGUGCAUUCUUAGACAUGAGAAUCACAUUAAUUAAUUGUAAGUUGAACAAUCUUAAAAUUUAUUUUUCUUUUAUUUGUUUUUGUUCGUAUGUGUGAUGAGAUUAACAUGUACUACAAAGUAGUUAUAAUGUGUAUAUGAUUGUAAAGAAGAGAUAUACCUAGGAGGGUCUGUAAUUUUGUUGGACUUAAUUGCAACGUCAUCUUAUUGAGACUAGAAAGCUGGGACUACAAUAAUGAAAUCAUGUUACAAUGGUUUUGGAUAAUCACAUUAAGUUGUCAAGUAAUUUGCUUCUCAAGUCAUCGAACUUGCUUUUCCCGGUUGUUGAGCUUGAUCUUAGCCUUUUUUCAUGUUGUCAUACCCUCCAAACCAUUAUAUAUGAUCAUUCUAGGUGGUGAACAUUGUUUUAGUUAACCUCCUGGUCAUGCUUCCUAUUUAUAGUUUGAUUAUUUGGACACAUGGACCACCCUGGAAGAUGCGCCUAAAUAACAAAAAAAUAUUCCCUUCCGAGUCAGUAUUCAAACUCUCAUUUGAAAGAUAAAUAGGUUGCUUGGUAUGUUUUGGAGUAAUUCGGGCUACUCGAGUUAUGUAGUCGAAAUUACUUAACCAAUACAACCACCUCAUGAUGGCCGCGGCCAAGUCCAGUCCUCGAACAUAACUAGGUAGCUUACCAAGUAUCUCAAAACAAAACUCAUCAAGAGUCACGAGAUGGAGAGCUUUUAAGGUUUGAGGUUGCAAUAGCCCUGUCAUUUUUUGUCGUAAUAAUAAAUACACAAAAAAAGAAAACAUGAUGGUUACGAUAUGUAAACAAAAACUGAAGACAAUGAGAAGGAAAAAGGGAUGACAAGAAUGCGUAGAAUAAAUCAAGGGUUCAUGCAGGCUGUGACAUGCAUGCUUAAAAAAAGGGCAAUUAGAAAUUCCAAGUUAUACGAAAGUUACCUAUCAUUCUUGAAAAGGAUGAAUAAAAAAUAAAUGUAAUAGAAACCUUGAAAUUAGCUGUGGAAAUCAAACAACUUCAACCUGAUUAUACAAAAGAAACAAUAUUUUUCAUGGAAAAUGACUACUAUUGCAUAGUUAGGAAUCAAUCGGAAGAUAAUUAAGGCUAGUUUGACCAUAUUUUCUAAAAUUUAUUUUUAAAAAUUGUUUUUUAUUCUUUAAGUUGAAGACAAUUUUAAAAAAUAAGUUUCAGAAAAUAUAGCUAAAUGAAUUCAUGUUUUCUUUAUAUUUUUUAAAACUAGUGAAAAUAACUCAUACUUAUUCUUUAAAAAUUAUUCUCUAUUUCAUUUUAUUUUUAAAAAUUACUUAUAGAAAACAAUGUUAAAACAAUCUUAGAAAAUUUUAAAAAUAAUUUUUUAUUUUUAUAAAUAGAAAACUAUUUUUAAAUCAUAUAUUCAAACAUAUUCUCAAAUUUCCAAAAUUAGAGCUAAUAGAAUAAAAAAACAAAAGAAAAAAAAAAGACUAGGAAGAACAAAGGAGAUAUGGAGUCUCACGAAACCAAUAGAAUUCAAACCAAAUAGGUUAUUGAGGAUGGUGUUCGAUCAUCACCCAAUAAGAGGAGCCAUAGCAAGAACAAGCUAUUAAAAGGUAACCUAGCUAAUUAUAACAUAGCAAAGUUAUCUUGGAAUGUGGUAUUGGACUUCAUAAUUAGAUAUAAGAAAUCUAUAAAAUCAAUUUCAUUAGAGUUAGCAGCUCAUAAUUAGAUGCUUCAUUUAUCACCUAGCUAGGUUAGGGCAUGCUAGCCCAGCAACAAAAUCUUGUGAUAUAAUCAAUAACUAGGGAUAUCACGCCAAGCUUCCAAGUAUUACCAUACACUACAAGAAAAAUGGGAAACAAUGACGUUUUUUAAGCGUCAAGAAAGGUAAUAGAUGACGCUUCUCUAAAGCGUCCUCUUCGCCUCUGUCAUUGUAUGUCUUAGGCAACAAUGACACUUUCAGGAAGCGCCAUCUUUGAUAAAAUAAAGGUUUUGUUUUUGGCUGAAAGAUGACUUUCCAAAACUCUAAAUCCGAUCUUCACCGUUCAAAUUUAAGAUUAAUGACUUAUGAACCUCUCCUCCAAAUUUCAGCUUAAUCAGACUAUGAAAAAAGCGGCAUCGGACCUUUGAUGAAAUCUGGGCAUGAUGUAAAAAACCACUAUUUUUCUCUCUUCUCCUCUUUCUCUGUAAUGACUGUCCGAAACUCCAAAUCCAAUCUUCACCGUUCAUAUUGAAGAUACAUGAGCCACGAACCUCUCCUUCAAAUUUCAACUCGAUCGGACCACGGAUGAAGCGGAAUCGGACAUUUGAUGAAAUCUGGGCAUGAUGAGAAAAACCUACGUUUUUCUCUCUUCUCCUCUUUCUCUCUAAUGACUGUCCAAAACUCCAAAUCCGAUCUCCACCGUUCAUAUUGAAUAUACAUGAGCCACGAACCUCUCCUUCAAAUUUCAACUCGAUCGGACCACGGAUGAAGCGGGAUCGGACAUUUGAUGAAAUCUGGGCAUGAUGAGAAAACCUACGUUUUUCUCUCUUCUCCUCUUUCUUUCUAAUGACUUUCCGAAACUCCAAAUCCGAUCGUCACCGUUCAGAUUGAAGAUAAAUGAGUCACGAAACUCUCCUCCAAAUUUCAGCUCGAUCGGACCACGGACGAAGUGGGAUCAAACCUUUGAUGAAAUCUGGGCAUGAUGAGAAAAACUUGCAUUUUUCUCUCUUCUCUUCUUUCUCACUAAAAACGAUGGCUCUCUCCCUUCUUUCUUGUCUUCCAAAAGUUAGGGUUUUCAAUGGAGACUUUAUAACAAAUUUUAAAAUAUCAUGCAUGUCCUUUUUCAAUAAAUUAAAAUAGUAUUCUUUAUUUCAUCUUCCAAUAAUAAUUUUUAUAUAUUGAACUCAUAAUGAAUUUAUAUUGUUUAAUUAUUUGAUAUUUUAGGUUGAUGUCGGUUUAAUUUGAAUAUUGAUAUUUUAAAAAAAAAACUAAUUUAAUAGAAUGAGCUUAAUUCCCAUAAAUAUUAGAAAGUUUUUAUAAAUAUUCUUAUUGCAUUUAGUUUUAUUGUGAGUCUAAUCAUCAUUAAAUUAAUUUAAAUAUUAAUUUAUUUCAUUUUAGUUAAAUAAUUUCAAAUUUAUAUUCAUUAACUAUAAAACAUUCUCAAAUAAAAGGGUUAAACCCAAUAAAUGUGGCCCAAGGCUCGAACAAGUGCUCAAAAUAGACCACUUUUUUAUGGUCCACAAAUAAAUUAACAAAUUAUUUUUAAAUGAAAUAUAAGAUAAUUUCUAAUUUAAUAAAAAUGAAAAAUAGUUUAUGAAAAUAGAUUGUAUUGAUACAAACUAUAAAAAAAAUUAAUAUCAAACAAUAAAAAAAUAAUUUAUUAGGAUUUUAUUUUAUUUAUAUCCAAAUUUUUUUUAAAAAACCUUAAUGUAGCAACUUUAUGUCAUUAAUAUUAAUGUUAAUUUACCAUAAUUAAUUUAUAGAAUAAAAUUCUAAUAUCAAAAUUUGUAUAAGUUAACUUAAAAACAAAAAUUUUAAAAGUCAAUACAACUAUGACACUUCUCAGGAACGUCAUUACAUACCCAUCAAAUAAUGAUGCUUAUAAUAAGUGUCAAGGUAAAUAAUAAAACUAUGACGCUUCUUAUAAGCGUCAUUAUAUACACAGUUAUAAGGAAAAAGAUGACAUCAAAUAAUGACACUUAUAAUAAGUAUCAAGAUAAAUAAUACAACUAUGACACUUCUUAUAAGCGUCAUUGUAUACCCUCAAUAAUGACGCUUUUAGAAAGCGUCAUAAAAUAAAGCGUCAUUAAUUUCAAUUUUUGUAGUAGUGAUAUGAUACAUAACCCAGACAAAAGGUAUACACUUGUAUACACGGUGGAUAUAUAAAUAUAAAUAUAAAUGGAUAAAAAGUGUCUUCAAAUAAAUAUUUAUGUUAUGAAUAUUUUAGGCUAUAAAGAAAAGGAAAUUGUUGUACGGUCCGUAUGGAGAUAUAUUGUGAAAAUGGAAGAAUAUUUUAAGACUCAAUAAUUAUAUAUAGUUUUAUAAUUAAUUUUUUUGCUUUUUAAGACCCCAUAAUUAUAUAUAGUUUUGUAAUGUAAAUAAUGAAUUAAUUUUUUGAUCCAUGUGUAAGAUUUAAAGACUCAAUAAUUAUUUAUGAUUUUAUGGCAUCCUUUUUCUGAUAGGUGUAUAUAAACAUAAUCUAUGGAACUAAAUUAAAACUUGGUGUAACUUCUUCAACCACAACUUAGAGAUUGAUAUAUGUUUUUUUAUUCACUUAUUUAUUUAUAAAGCUGAUAUUGCAACAUCCAUGCCUCGUCGAUCUCCUUACAUCAUCCGUGGAGUUAUUUUUAGCAUAAAUUAAGGAGUAAUUAUUUAUUUAUGGUAAACGAGGCCUAAGCUUGGUGGUGGCUCGCACACCUUAAGCGCUGGGGUCUUCAUCAAGGACCAUAGGAGAAAGGGACCUGAGCUCCAGAGGAAGAUCCAUCCUCUUCCAAUCCAGAGGACGAUCGACCUUCUCCCAAUCCAGAGGACGAUCGACCUUCUCCCAAACAUAUGCCUCGUAGUUGGUCAAGACGUCUUCGUGUUUGGCUACAAGAUGGAGUAGGUGAAUGCGGCCGCGGCCUCUGGAGAGGCGCUGAUACCACCCCUCGUACACGUUAAUGAAUUCCAGGUGCCAGUUCGCCUUCCUGUUUUUCUCCUUCACGGCGAACUCUCCCAAUAAUUGCAGCUGAAAUACAUUGUGGUUCCGAAUCCAUUUGUCACCUUCCAGUUGAGUUAUGAUUCCGCCCAGAUCCAUGUGAGUCAUUGCUCCGUCGAGUUUCAGGGGAGCCGUGUGGCGGUGGAGCUGAACCUGAGCCAUCGUGCGGACGCCGUAGACUUGUCAAAGUUGUGGGUUUAGGAUAGGUUUUUGUGGAGGUGGUGGUGGCAGAUGUGGUGGCGGUGGCUCCAUUUAUAGACUGGGAAAUGAUGAUGAUGAUGAUGGAAAAUGCCCUUCAACUUUCUUGGAGCUACGGGAAUACGAAUCUACGGUUU
Molecule: long non-coding RNA, 20314 nt
Filed under: Vitis vinifera (wine grape)
Lineage: Eukaryota; Viridiplantae; Streptophyta; Magnoliopsida; Vitales; Vitaceae
Description: long non-coding RNA (VVIN_LNC007234)
Source: RNAcentral